Molecule: ribosomal RNA, 498 nt
Filed under: uncultured bacterium
Lineage: Bacteria
Description: partial 16S ribosomal RNA
Rfam family: Bacterial small subunit ribosomal RNA
Source: RNAcentral
AUUGAACGCUGGCGGCAUGCCUUACACAUGCAAGUCGAACGGUAACAGGUCUUCGGAUGCUGACGAGUGGCGAACGGGUGAGUAAUACAUCGGAACGUGCCUAGUAGUGGGGGAUAACUACUCGAAAGAGUGGCUAAUACCGCAUGAGAUCUACGGAUGAAAGCAGGGGAUCGCAAGACCUUGUGCUACUAGAGCGGCCGAUGGCAGAUUAGGUAGUUGGUGGGAUAAAAGCUUACCAAGCCGACGAUCUGUAGCUGGUCUGAGAGGACGAUCAGCCAGUCUGGGACUGUGAAACGGCCCAGACUCCUACGGGAGGCAGCAGUGAGGAAUUUUGGACAAUGGGCGCAAGCCUGAUCCAGCAAUGCCGCGUGCAGGAUGAAGGCCUUCGGGUUGUAAACUGCUUUUGUACGGAACGAAAAGCCCCGGGUUAAUACCCUGGGGUCAUGACGGUACCGUAAGAAUAAGCACCGGCUAACUACGUGCCAGCCGCCGCAGUAA